RNAcentral lists this ribosomal RNA (464 nucleotides) under Vreelandella stevensii. Its description in RNAcentral is "partial 16S ribosomal RNA". It matches the Rfam family "Bacterial small subunit ribosomal RNA", at positions 338 to 794 of the family's 1533-position model. Lineage: Bacteria; Pseudomonadati; Pseudomonadota; Gammaproteobacteria; Oceanospirillales; Halomonadaceae. The record is from RNAcentral.
CCUACGGGGUGCUGCAGUGGGGAAUAUUGGACAAUGGGCGAAAGCCUGAUCCAGCCAUGCCGCGUGUGUGAAGAAGGCCUUCGGGUUGUAAAGCACUUUCAGUGGGGAAGAAAGCCUUGGGGCUAAUACCCUCGAGGAAGGACAUCACCCACAGAAGAAGCACCGGCUAACUCCGUGCCAGCAGCCGCGGUAAUACGGAGGGUGCGAGCGUUAAUCGGAAUUACUGGGCGUAAAGCGCGCGUAGGCGGUCUGAUAAGCCGGUUGUGAAAGCCCCGGGCUCAACCUGGGAACGGCAUCCGGAACGGUCAGGCUAGAGUGCAGGAGAGGAAGGUAGAAUUCCCGGUGUAGCGGUGAAAUGCGUAGAGAUCGGGAGGAAUACCAGUGGCGAGGGCGGCCUUCUGGACUGACACUGACGCUGAGGUGCGAAAGCGUGGGUAGCAAACAGGAUUAGAUACCCGAGUAUC